AGAGUUUGAUCAUGGCUCAGGACGAACGCUGGCGGCGUGCCUAAUACAUGCAAGUUGAACGAUGAUUUCUGGUACUUGUAUCAGGAUGAAGAGUAGCGAACGGGUGAGUAACGCGUGGGUAACCUACCUCUUAGCGGGGGACAACUAUUGGAAACGAUAGCUAAUACCGCAUAACAAUAUUAAACACAUGUUUAAUAUUUGAAAGUACCAAUUGGUACACUAGGAGAUGGACCCGCGUUGUAUUAGCUAGUUGGUAGUGUAAUGGACUACCAAGGCGAUGAUACAUAGCCGACCUGAGAGGGUGAUCGGCCACAUUGGGACUGAGACACGGCCCAAACUCCUACGGGAGGCAGCAGUAGGGAAUCUUCGGCAAUGGACGAAAGUCUGACCGAGCAACGCCGCGUGAGUGAAGAAGGUUUUCGGAUCGUAAAACUCUGUUGUUAGAGAAGAACGUUGUGUAGAGUGGAAAAUUACACAGGUGACGGUAUCUAACCAGAAAGGGACGGCUAACUACGUGCCAGCAGCCGCGGUAAUACGUAGGUCCCGAGCGUUGUCCGGAUUUAUUGGGCGUAAAGCGAGCGCAGGUGGUUUAAUAAGUCUGAUGUAAAAGGCAGUGGCUCAACCAUUGUGUGCAUUGGAAACUGUUAGACUUGAGUGCAGUAGAGGAGAGUGGAAUUCCAUGUGUAGCGGUGAAAUGCGUAGAUAUAUGGAGGAACACCGGUGGCGAAAGCGGCUCUCUGGACUGUAACUGACACUGAGGCUCGAAAGCGUGGGUAGCAAACAGGAUUAGAUACCCUGGUAGUCCACGCCGUAAACGAUGAGUGCUAGUUGUUUGGGGCUAUCCAGCCCUAUGUGACGCAGCAAACGCAUUAAGCACUCCGCCUGGGGAGUACGACCGCAAGGUUGAAACUCAAAGGAAUUGACGGGGCCGCACAGCGGUGGAGCAUGUGGUUUAUUCGAGCACGCGAGACUACAGUCUGACUACAAUGCUAUCUAGAGAUAGAGUACUCGGUACACUGGAAAAAAGGUGGUGCAUGAUUGUCGUCAGCUCG
This 1052-nucleotide ribosomal RNA is filed under the name uncultured Lactococcus sp. RNAcentral describes it as "bacterial SSU rRNA". It matches the Rfam family "Bacterial small subunit ribosomal RNA", at positions 8 to 1062 of the family's 1533-position model. The record is from RNAcentral. Lineage: Bacteria; Bacillati; Bacillota; Bacilli; Lactobacillales; Streptococcaceae.